GGAAAAGGGCGGGAGGCGGCUCCGCCUCCCUGAGGGGAGCCGGGCGGGAAGGCGGGCGAGGAGCCCGGGGAGCUUCCCUGGAACACCCCCGCGGGCAUCUCGCCUUCCUGCAAAAAUCUAAUUCGGCUGGGCAGCGAGUGAUAGAGACAACUUUAUAUCAGUGGGAAAGCUGAAUAGAAGAAGAGGAAGAGCACACAAGAACUUUGUGUCUUUGGCUGUUCACGGAGAGUGGGCAGAAGAUUCCUGCCCGUCUCCACGACGAGGACACGUCCCUCCUGUUUUGUGAAGAGCAACACUUACCGUGUGCUAAUGACAGUAAAUGAUUUUCUCUAUCAGCCUUCACCCUUCCAGCUGACACACCCAGCUGCCGCUCCCUCGCUUUUGUCUUUUGCGAGUGUUGCUGUGCUGUCCUGGGGCUGAGAACCAGCAGUGAAAAUGGCUGGUUAAUAUUAAAAGGGAGAAACAAAAAAGGGAGACAAAUGUUCAGGCUUUUUGCAUACAGCAUUUCAAACGUCUGAAAGCCCCUCUCCCCUCGGGAGUCUAAUUUACAAGGGUACCUCGAGGGAUUUGUUAUCCAACGUCAGAGUUACAGCAGCAGCUCCUUGACAUGCCAAUGCCACGAUAGAGGCAUGGAAGUGUGGGAAGAACAAACCUGAGGGUUUUGGUAGCUGCUUUGUUCCAGAAAUUCCAGCACACCAAUUCCCCAAAGCCGUGCAGCGCUGGGUGAUCUCCAAGCUUCCUGUGCUCUCUGCUCACACUUCCCCAGGGGUGAUCAGCCACAUCUGGACCCACAACAUCCCAAAUCCAGAGGGGAUCAGCCACAUCUGGACCCACAACAUCCCAAAUCCAGAGGGGAUCAGCCACAUCUGGAUCCACAACGUCCCAAAUCCAGAGGUGAUCAGCCACAUCUGGAUCCACAACAUCCCAAAUCCAGAGGUGAUCAGCCACAUCUGGAUCCACAACGUCCCAAAUCCAGAGGUGAUCAGCCACAUCUGGAUCCACAACAUCCCAAAUCCAGAGGUGAUCAGCCACAUCUGGAUCCACCACACCCCAAAUCCAGAGAUGAUCAGCCACAUCUGGACCCACAACAUCCCAAAUCCAGAGGUGAUCAGCCACAUCUGGAUCCACCACACCCCAAAUCCAGAGGUGAUCAGCCACAUCUGGACCCACAACAUCCCAAAUCCAGAGGGGAUCAGCCACAUCUGGAUCCACCACACCCCAAAUCCAGGGGCACUCUGCCAGACCUUGCCUUUAGGAGUGCUCCCUGCCAUGGGCUUGGAGGUGCAAAUGGGGAUCACUUUUUCCUUUAGUAAUGGAAAAAUGCUUCUGGCAGCAAUAGGUAGGAUCCCCCAGUGACCUCUAAUGACACAGGACAUGUCCCACACUCCCUCACAGCCUCUGGCUUUGGUGUUUUCCCCAACACACAGACCAGAGGAAAGAAAGCUUGCUUUGAUGAGCACUGAAGCUGCCUUUUGUUCAUGCAAUGAAGUUUAACGUUAGGAAAUUGUAAAUUGUUUAUCUACGCUCCAUUAAAUACUGUGUU
Passer domesticus (house sparrow) is the source of this 1543-nucleotide long non-coding RNA. RefSeq lists it as uncharacterized. The transcript is spliced from 4 exons. Lineage: Eukaryota; Metazoa; Chordata; Aves; Passeriformes; Passeridae. The record is from RefSeq and is a predicted model, not a curated record.